This 443-nucleotide ribosomal RNA is filed under the name uncultured bacterium. Its description in RNAcentral is "partial 16S ribosomal RNA". It matches the Rfam family "Bacterial small subunit ribosomal RNA", at positions 338 to 795 of the family's 1533-position model. The record is from RNAcentral.
CCUACGGGUGGCAGCAGUGGGGAAUAUUGGGCAAUGGAGGCAACUCUGACCCAGCAACGCCGCGUGAAUGAUGAAGGUCUUCGGAUUGUAAAGUUCUUUUCUAAGGGAAGAAGAUAGUGCCGGUACCUUAGGAAUAAGCCUCGGCUAACUACGUGCCAGCAGCCGCGGUAAUACGUCGGAGGCAGGCGUUAUCCGGAAUGACUGGGCGUAAAGGGUGCGUAGGUGGCUUGACAAGUUAGUAGCGAAACUCCGGGGAUCAACUUCGGAACUACUACUAAAACUGGUGGACGUGAGUGCAGGAGGGGCAAGCGGAAUUCCUAGUGUAGCGGUGGAAUGCGUAGAUAUUAGGAGGAACACCAGUGGCGAAGGCGGAUUGCUAGACUGUAACUGACGCUGAGGCACGAAAGCGUGGGGAGCAAACAGGAUUAGAUACCCCGGUAGUC